Molecule: long non-coding RNA, 202 nt
Filed under: Elaeis guineensis (African oil palm)
Lineage: Eukaryota; Viridiplantae; Streptophyta; Magnoliopsida; Arecales; Arecaceae
Description: long non-coding RNA (EGUI_LNC074929)
Source: RNAcentral
ACCAAGUCAGAUCAGGAUGGAUUAGAAACAUGCCGGUCCAAUGAUAAGUCAUCAAUCCUCUCACUGACUUCAUCAAGUCAUAUCGAGGAUAAAGACAAGUCGAACUAGAGGCACCUAAAUCAGUCGAACUGAUUUUUUAGUAAGCAUGGGUCAACCCUAAUCAUUAAGCGAUCUGAUUAAAACUUGAUUCACCAUGUUGGCC